Long non-coding RNA from Motacilla alba alba, 519 nucleotides. RefSeq lists it as uncharacterized. The record is from RefSeq and is a predicted model, not a curated record. NCBI's taxonomy places the organism in Eukaryota, Metazoa, Chordata, Aves, Passeriformes, Motacillidae. The transcript has 3 exons.
UCGUCACCUGAGAGGAUAAACAGGAUUUACCUUGGUCUGUAGGCAUUAACUCUGUGAGCUUUAAAAUCCAACCUGUUCUCAGAGUGACUGCCUGCCCAACUGCACUGCAUUACACUGAGUUCCUCCAAAAUGCUGAGACUCCUGGUCACCCUGAGAGCUGGGCAAAUAGGACUUUUGCAAGGUUCUGUAAAAGCAUUUGACAACCUGCCUAUAAACUGCUGUACCUGGAGGAAUAUUGCUUGCCUGAUUCCUACAGAGAUUACAUGGUUGUUCAACUAUGAGACAAUACAAGACUUGCCUUGGUUGCUUUGGAAAAUGAUGACUUGCAUCUAAGAGACCUCAACUGUCCUUAGUUUGAAGAUCCCUAAUUGAAAAGAAGCUGAAUACACAUUAUUGAUAAGUAGUACUUAUUUCAUUAGUUUAGUUUUUUUUUUUUUCCUUUGACAAACCAUAAAUGUGUUUUCCACAAUAAAGCUAUCAGAGGGCAUGAAAAAGCUUCUAAAAGUUUCUUGGAGCAAA